GUAGUCUCGCACAGAUGCAUAUCAAUAAGCGGAGGAAAAGAAACUAACAAGGAUUCCCUCAGUAACGGUGAGUGAAGCGGGAAGAGCUCAAAUUUGAAAUCUUGAAAGGUCACCUUUCACGAAUUGUAGUUUAAAGAAGUGUUUUCUGUUACGAUCGUAAUAUAAGUUCUUUGGAAUAGGACAUCACAGAGGGUGAGAAUCCCGUCUAUGAUUGCGAUUUGUAGCUUUGUGAUACACUUUCAAAGAGUCGGGUUGUUUGGGAAUGCAGCCCAAAACGGGAGGUAAAUUUCUUCUAAGGCUAAAUAUUGGCGAGAGACCGAUAGCGAACAAGUACCGUGAGGGAAAGAUGAAAAGAACUUUGAAAAGAGAGUUAAAUAGUACGUGAAAUUGUCAAAAGGGAAGCGUUUAACACCAGUGUUGUUUUCUGAAAAUCAACCUCUGUUAGCUUUAUGCAUGCUUGUUUAGACCUAAUCAGCUAUCUUGUAUGUUCUAUUGUUUGCAGUGGUGCACUUUUCAGUUACAGGUCAACAUCAGUUUCUUUUGUUGUAAAAGGGUAAGAGGAAGGUGGCUUUAGCUUCGGUUAAAGUGUUUAUAGCCUUUUACCUCUGCAGUCGGAGAGAUUGAGGUCUGCAGCGUAGAUCCUUCGGGGUUAGAUACAUUUGUGCUAAGUUAUAGCUUUUCAUAGACAACUUGUUGACUAUGUUUAGUCUUGUAGCUUACUCGCUUAUGCUAUUUUACCUACGCUUAGGAUGUUGACGCAUGAGAUAUACGC
Molecule: ribosomal RNA, 772 nt
Filed under: uncultured Neocallimastigales
Lineage: Eukaryota; Fungi; Neocallimastigomycota; Neocallimastigomycetes; Neocallimastigales
Description: partial large subunit ribosomal RNA
Rfam family: Eukaryotic large subunit ribosomal RNA
Source: RNAcentral